UUUGGUUGAUGUUGUCAAACACAGGAAAACCUCAGACUACAGAAACGGGAUUUGAAGAUGUCCGUGAUCAUGGCCGUCCGUUGGGUUUGACCAACUCCCCUUUUUUCCAGUAAAAAACAUUCCGAGGAAAAAUAAAUUUGCGCGAAAUUCGGGAAAAUUCUGGUUCCGGCCGCGGGAUGAUUGGCGGCCACCCGCGCCUGCGCAGUGGGGGGAAGCUGGUGACCAAUGACGUCGUCUCCCCGCGCCUGCGCAGUGGGGGGAAGCUGGUGACCAAUGACGUCGUCUCACCGCGCCUGCGCAGUGGGGGGAAGCUGGUGACCAAUGACGUCGUCUCACCGCGCCUGCGCAGGGGGGGGGGGGCGGGAUCAGAUCGCCGCCAUUGUCAACGCAUCGCCUCGAUGAUCCGGGCCUAGUCUGGCCGGUGGUUCAUCCUGGGAACUGUUGGCCAUUUAAAGACUCCCAAUGCUUUGUUGUCAUCGAGCUUGCUGUCUGGAUCAGGCCUACAGCCUUUACCCUAGAGCACAUUCCAAAAUCCAUUUCUCCGAGUGGAUCAAUUAGUAGUGCCCCUCAAGACUUCUCUGUUUAUGGCUUGGAUGAUGAAAAUAAAGCCGAAGAUGUCCUAUUGGACAGUACACGUAUAAUGAGGAAGGGGAUUCAAUCCAGACGUUUGAGGUGCAGAAUAAAGAUGCUGCCGUUUACAAAUUCAUUGAACUGCGGGUGAAUAGCAAGUGGGGCCAUCCAGAAUAUACUUG
Molecule: long non-coding RNA, 752 nt
Organism: Amblyraja radiata (thorny skate)
Lineage: Eukaryota; Metazoa; Chordata; Chondrichthyes; Rajiformes; Rajidae
Exons: 4
Source: RefSeq, a predicted model, not a curated record